This is a long non-coding RNA of Cercocebus atys (sooty mangabey), 4710 nucleotides long. RefSeq lists it as uncharacterized. The transcript has 2 exons. The record is from RefSeq and is a predicted model, not a curated record. NCBI's taxonomy places the organism in Eukaryota, Metazoa, Chordata, Mammalia, Primates, Cercopithecidae.
AAGAGUCAAAUGGAGUCCAGCGUUAGUGAGAUUAUAUGUUAUGUGGUAUAUAAUGUUGGAUGUCAACUCCCCAAAACCAUAAAACUUACUUUAAUGGCCUCACGUGACGUUUUAUAGCCAGUGAGCCGAUCUGUCUGUGCUAUGGAUGAUUUUACGAUCUAAUUCAUAGACAAAACCCUAUUCAUUUGGCACCCAAAUGUCAUAUAGCCGGAACUGGGGCUUAUAAAGUUUACUGUUUUAUAACUUUUAAAAGGAAAGACGGCAUCAGUGUAAGCAGUCGGUAAAUGUGCAAAUCUCUAGUUGCGCUUUAGCUGCUCUGAGGAGUUUCCCAAUCGAGCUAGGAUGGGAAUUCCACCCACGCACCUAUUCCCUCUCCCAGCGCUUCAGACACCUCUCUCAUCGAAAAACCGGGCGAAAGGAAGCCGUCAACGAGCGGAGAACUCUGGCUGAAUUAGUAAGUUUUUCUCUGUUUCUCCCUUUUACCUUUCUCUCUGAAACCAAUUCCCUCGGAGUAGAAGGUGCUGUGCUGAUGCUAAUAAAAUGACUGUGGAUUAAUGCACUUUGCCCUCACCUCUUCCCACCUUCCCAGGUCAAGAACGGUUUCCUGUUGUUGGGGAAUCCAACAAAACCAAAUAGGGCCAUGAAUGAAAACAUAAAAAUCCAAACCCAAGGGAAUAGCGGGGAACACAGUGUGCCGGGCCACUUCCUUUUGGGCUUCACGGGGUCGCUGGGGAAGGGGAGAGAGACGACCCAAGGGAUGCUGCCCUGUGCCUGGGCGCUGUGCCACGGAGGGCCGAGGGAAGGCGGGCACUUACUGCCAAGGCGAGCCAGGGAGGGGAGAGAAAGGGAGUGGUGUGUGUGCGUGUGUGCGCGCGUGUGUGUGCCUGUGUGUGUGACGUGUGUGUGCUGUAGUGUGUGAUGGGGGCGAGUGUGAAUGGGUGAGUAUGGUAAGGGGGAGUGUGCCCCUCUUAAAGCCUCCCUGGGUGCCCUCUCCCACCGCUGCUGCCGCCGGCUGUCACCUCACCACCUUUACUCCUAUCUCCUCCCCACAUGUCUCACCUUCAGACGGCGACUCCCAGAAGCUCCUGCCCCUGUGACAUCUGUCGCUUGGGCAGCCCGAAAGACGAAUUGUCCUCCUUCCUGGUGCCAGAGGACGCAGGAAAUUAGCCAGGUUGCGAGUUGCAAAGCUGCCGCCGCGGCGCCAGGAACGGGGCGCGCCCCAUCUCCAGCGGGAGCCGCCAGGCCUGGCCUGGCCGGGGCUUCCCUUCGCUCGCCAUCUCCGGACAAAGCGCAGCCGAGCCAGGCUCGAAGGCAGAGCUCCGAAGCAGGCAGGACGGAGCGGAGCAAAAGAAUGCGGCUCUAUUCUCGCAAGGGAAAUUAUAAAAAAGUUCAUGUUCACGGUUCUCAUCCACAUGACCGACAGCGGCCAAUGGAAGGGCCGAACAACUCAUAAAGUUGUAUUGCAAAGUUGUAAAUUUUCAUAAACAACAACGGAUUUAUGACCCUUUCCCCAUCACUGAGAGGAGGCAGCUCUUACACCGGCGCCAUCUUACCACCGAGGCCGCCCAGACUUGGGGCCUCAGGUUUUACAGACCCUUUUGGGCCCGGUUUUACUAAAAGAGCCAUAAGAAGCGGACCCAACCCAGGCAGAAGACUGGAGACAAGGUCUUGCAGGCGGAACUUAGGAUGCUCUGAGCUGCCCGCACAAUCCCUCGCCCUUCGCCCCUCGCCCCUUCGCUGCACCCAGAUGCCCCAGCCCCUGCCCAGGCUGCGCAGCCCAGCGAGGGUCUGCGGUCCUAGCCCCUCCCCGCGCCACCUACAGCAGUGCGGGACCCUGGGGCGCCCUUGCCUCGCCUGCAGGCGGGGUGGGGGCCUUAAAUCCCAUUUCCUAGCCUGGGGCUGGGUUCAGGGCGCAUGCGAAAUCCCUAAUCAGCCUCUGGAUAAUGCCCCUUUCCAAGCCCACUGCGCAGCCUUAGAGGAAAGGGUGGAUUUGAAAUUUCCUCAUGGAAUUUAUGGAGAUUUUUAGGGAGCUUCAUAGAAUAUAACGUAUCUGCCAGAGAUUCCGUUUUCAAGGGAUCUAGAAGAUGUUAGUGCACACACAAAAACCAGACAAACGUCUCUACACGGAUAAAGGCACAUGUACAAUUAUGCACACAGGGAAGGGCAUACACUCUAUUGUGGGCACAGAAUGACAUGCAAUUAUGGACACACAGAAACACAUGCACCCAUUUAUGGACACCAAAAUAUACACAAUUGUGAAAUUAGGUAAAAACACACACACAGAAAUACAUAAACAAAAAUAAGCACAUACUCAUACAAAUACACACAUAAAAAUACAUUAAAAAAUACAUGACACCAAUACAUGAGCAUCCAACACUUGGACCAUCACAAGGACAGCCACCCCACUUUUGCUUCCCCACUGACCCUUUCCCUCCAGCCAUGCUCACUUCCCCUUUCCCAGUCUCCUCUGGAUAAGGUAGUCCACGUUUUUCUUUGUCACCAAGCAUCUUUAUUUUUCAGUUACAUAAAACACAGCUGGGCUGGGAAGUGUGUCUUCCCUGAACCCCAGGAUGGAGCUGAGGGGGAUACAGGACAACACAGGAGAUGAAGGGCAUUGCGGAGGGCAUUGGACCUCCCCACCCACUACAGUUAGCUCAAGACAACAUACCAUGCUACAAAGUCACCCCAUUAACACAUCCUUUCCAAGUCAAGACACUGCCUUACAAAUGAACUCCAAGACUAUAGAAACGAUCAAACAAAAAAAUCUUGUUCAAAUAUACAGUAUCUGCUAUUAUAGGAAAUGUCAGGGCGUACAUAUUUAACACAGCUGAACAGUAAGAUACAGGAGCCAGAGGAAAGGACAGCGAAGCUGGGAGCAUCUCCACAGUCCUACUAAGCAGAAGCUAACCCAGAGAUCUGCAGCCAGCUCAGGAACAUUCCCCUCCAGAAGCGGGGGUUGAUGGGCCUGAACUUUGGGUGCCAAGCCAGAGAAGGAGGGAUUGAUUCUAGGGUGCAGCACUUAGAAUGCUUUUUGGAAUAAAUAUAUUAUUUUUCAAUUUAAAUAGAUGCCAAUACCCUGAUCCUGGACCUCAGCACAUUCUCAGGGCAGCCUCAGGGACCCCAAAACCUGCGGGCUGUAAGCAGCAGGGGCCUUGUCUGGGAGCAGUCGGCACUAGGUAGCAGGCAAGCCAGCCAGCACAAAAUAGGUAGUUUUAGGGGAGUAGGUAGUAGUGAGAUUCACGUUCUUGCCGAUCUGGGAGGGUGGUGCUGGGUGUCUGCCAGUGCUGGGAUACAUAGGGGCUUCCUGGGAAUGGAGGCCCUCUGAGCUGGAUACAUAGGUAGUUUGGGGGUGCCUCGAGCAGAGGCCUGUGCUAGGUAGUAUUUUGGCCGCGCCAGCGCAGGGCCGGCUGACCUGGGGUUGGGGGUGUCUUUUGGGGUCCUUGGAGGCAGAGGGAAUCCAAGGCGACCCAGUCGCUGCCGCCGCUCAAUCCACAAAAGUUGGGAGCUGGAGUAGGUGAUGGGGGCUGGGUGGAGUGCAGGUUGGGGACUGUUUUGUUUGUUCGUUGUUUUUUUUUUUUUUUUCUUGUUUUUUUUUUACAUUUUCUUUUAUUUUCCCCAUUUUUGUAAAUAAAACCAGUGAGUCUCUUAAAGACGCUUUUCCGACUGUCCGGUGCAGCGAGGGCCCGGCUCGGCCCCUCAUUCCUCCUCGUCUUCCUCUUCUUCAUCAUCGUCCUCCUCGUCAGCCUUGUCCGCGGCAGCGGUAGCGGCGGCAGAGGGCACGGCGCCCUCGGGAGCUGCUGCGGCAGCCGGACCUUCGUCCUUAUGCUCUUUCUUCCACUUCAUGCGGCGAUUCUGGAACCAGAUCUUGAUCUGGCGCUCGGUGAGGCAGAGCGCGUGGGCGAUUUCAAUGCGGCGGCGCCGCGUCAGGUAGCGGUUGAAGUGGAACUCCUUCUCCAGCUCCAGUGUCUGGUAGCGCGUGUAGGUCUGGCGGCCCCGCUUCCUGUCAGGUCCUGAGAACAGACAUGCAGACACAGGAACACACGGACAGACAAGUAGACAGGGCACUCGUUAGGCUGCUGUCCCAGAGCCCACACCUUCCUCUUGGCCUAGUCCCAGGCGAGCAUCCCCCUCCGCCCCAGGCCCCAAACUGAGCUAGGGGAGGAGGGGGGGUGUUAGGGAAAGACCCCAACUGCAGUGCCAGACUCGCAGGCAGCUCUGUAAUCAGCAAAGUCACAGAAUCCCAACUUUACAACCGCCUUUUCCAGCCGGCUAAGCUUCCACAAUGUCCUGCUUCCCCUGACAAAGGAAAACUGUAAAUAUAGAGUGUGGGCAAGUGGGAAAAGCUGCACUUUUGCCAUUCAAAGAUGAGCCCGGCCAUUCCCCCACCUUGCUAGGCAAGUGGGCGACCCUUCCCAGCAGCCUGAGACCUCAAUCCCCAGGACCUUCCUAGGGUACCCCGACCCUCUGGCCUCAUUCCCUCGCCCCCAUCUUGAAAUGGCCCCUGGCACAGGGUCGGGUGAGAGGCCUUGGAGGGCUUGGCUCUCCCAGCUUUUGAGGAAGAAAAGCCAGGCAGCAAGGAAAAGGAGGAGGAAGAGAAGAAAGGGAGGGAGGGUGACAGAAGAGGGAGAAAGAGAGAAUAGCGAACAAACUUAAUGUUAAAAUUCCAAGGCAAAUGGAGUUAAAUAAAUUUACGAGGAUCGAACCCAUUAA